CCUGGACUUGUGGAAGCUCCGGAGACAAUUCCAUGAGUCAUGGAUGUUGAGACCCAGUUUGGACACAGUCACCCCUGGUGGCUCCCGUGGAGGAGCUGGGAGGGUGACAGGGGACACUGUGUAUCUGUCCGGGUUCUGCCCACUGCCGUGUGCCCAGGCUCGGGGACAGUGCCCUGCCAGGGAAGGACACUUCGUGCUUUAUAUCUGGAUGUCCUCCAAAGCCUCAUGAGGGCAAAGCAAGUGACUUUGGUGAAGUGAGUAGGUCCGGGGCUCUCAGCUGACUGCCAUGAGGUGGGGCCAGGGCAGGAGACCUGGGUCACUGGGGCGUGGCCUCCAGGGCCCAUCUCCCUCCCCGCUCCUCCCUUGAUCUCGCUCACUUCCCGUCCAGCAUGCUGUGAACACCUUUCUUCCUUCCGCCAGGCCUCUCUGCCAUGUUGUCCUGCCCUGGAGCCAACUGUGGACUCCAACGAUUCUACACAUUGGAGAAAACAUGCAAUAUUUGUCUUUCUGAGUCUGCCGAACCCGAGCCAUUUGGCUGAACAUGAUGAAGAAUCCCAUGCAUUUCCCUGCACCUGACAUGAUUUCAUUCUUAUUUUGGGCCUAGUUGUGGUCAUUCUUACCUGCAUUUCCUUCAUUGUGGAAUCAGUUUUCCCCCUUGAACAGUUCCUAACUGGGGACUGUGCCUUGCAGGGUCAGUGUGUGUUUGAUGUACCCGUAUAUCCCUUUUCCACAGCCCUCCCACCUCCUCGCCUCUACUCCCCUGUCCCAGUUAAAUCCCUGAUGCUGGGUGUCGAACUCCACUGGCCAUGUCCUGGCUUUGUCUGCCUCCUCCAGAGUCUGCAUUCUGUUUCAUUUGAGUUGGAAACCAAUCAUCCACGUGCUCUGUUUUCCAUAGUCGCCAUCUGCUGCGUCCAUUGAUCUUUCUCCACUUGCAUUUCCUCCUGUUCUUAACCUUUCCAUAAGGUUCAUUUUCUGAUUCUUCAGAGUGCUUGUAACUCUACGUAGUAUUUAUGCAGCUCUUUCUGCAUGUUUAGCUCCAGUGACCACUAAGCAUUCGUUAAAUGAGUAAAUCAUUCUCUCUAUAUUUUCACCUCUAUUUUCCUUUGCUAUUUUUCCUGCCUCUGUGCUCGGAUUUCAGUAAGCUCAAGUCAGCACAAAGAAGAACUUGCCC
Heterocephalus glaber (naked mole-rat) is the source of this 1171-nucleotide long non-coding RNA. Lineage: Eukaryota; Metazoa; Chordata; Mammalia; Rodentia; Bathyergidae. The record is from Ensembl.